GAUGAACGCUGGCGGCGUGCCUAAUACAUGCAAGUCGAGCGAACGGACGAGAAGCUUGCUUCUCUGAUGUUAGCGGCGGACGGGUGAGUAACACGUGGAUAACCUACCUAUAAGACUGGGAUAACUUCGGGAAACCGGAGCUAAUACCGGAUAAUAUUUUGAACCGCAUGGUUCAAAAGUGAAAGACGGUCUUGCUGUCACUAUAGAUGGAUCCGCGCUGCAUUAGCUAGUUGGUAAGGUAACGGCUUACCAAGGCAACGAUGCAUAGCCGACCUGAGAGGGUGAUCGGCCACACUGGAACUGAGACACGGUCCAGACUCCUACGGGAGGCAGCAGUAGGGAAUCUUCCGCAAUGGGCGAAAGCCUGACGGAGCAACGCCGCGUGAGUGAUGAAGGUCUUCGGAUCGUAAAACUCUGUUAUUAGGGAAGAACAUAUGUGUAAGUAACUGUGCACAUCUUGACGGUACCUAAUCAGAAAGCCACGGCUAACUACGUG
This 496-nucleotide ribosomal RNA is filed under the name uncultured bacterium. RNAcentral's name for it is "partial 16S ribosomal RNA". It matches the Rfam family "Bacterial small subunit ribosomal RNA", at positions 28 to 507 of the family's 1533-position model. The record is from RNAcentral.